Molecule: long non-coding RNA, 3314 nt
Organism: Oxyura jamaicensis (ruddy duck)
Lineage: Eukaryota; Metazoa; Chordata; Aves; Anseriformes; Anatidae
Exons: 2
Source: RefSeq, a predicted model, not a curated record
CUCUCCAGGCUUGUAACAAGAAGGUCAGGUAGCUCAUCCUUGGGCAUGAGGCCAGUGGGAAUUGAUCUGAUCUGAUUAGUGGUGGUGUCCUUCACCUCUGUCCUGUGUCUGCUGUGUGGCUCCAGCAGAGAGGCUGACUGCUCUUACCAGCCCUAUUCAUCCUUUUGUGAGUUCUUUUUCGUAGUCAAAAUGAUGAAGAACAGACAGAUGCUCUUCUACCUCCCAGUGCUGUAUGCAGUCUUUAUGCUCCAGUUGUGCACUGCUUUCAGGUGAUGCCCUCUGUGCUAAUAUUGUAAGGAUAGCAAAUAUUUCAGUAUUCUUCAUUAGCAAUCAAAGCUGGGAGUUUAGUAUCCACUGUCAAAUGGGACAAAGACAAGCUGGGUCUGCCUGCCGUAGCGACUGAUAACUACAUCAGCUUCCAAGUCACUGCUCUUGACUGCAGUGCUUUGUGAAAGAGAUCCUGUUCACAGUCAUAUGAAAAUAGGAAGAAAAUACAAAGAAACACUACACAGCACUUUUUGCUUUGGUCUCUGGAGCAUGUUCUGCUGUGAAUUUCAGUCAACAGAGUUUUGUUAAAAUAAGAACUGUUUCCCCUCUUCUAAUUAUUGGCAGAAAAAUCACCACAGUUAUCAGUCUGAUUUUACCCAUCCUUUAUUAAUGCAGAUAUUCUAUUGCAAGCAUUAACCUCUGUUGUUUUUUUUUUUUUCCUAGAUGUAGAUAUCCCACCCUCAGUAGCUUAACAUCACAAAAGCACAGUCUUAAAUUUCCUUCACCUUAACUAGUGUUUAAUUAUUUUUUUUUUCUAGAUUGCACUGUUUUCUUGGAGACACUUCUCUAUGUCUGUGUCUCUUCCGUAGUCUAUUCAUGUAUUGUGGAAUUUCUUGUGUUUUUCUAGAUGUGCAUAUCUUUGAGAUUCUCCCUCACUGCUGUUUUGUGUCUUACUUGCCUUUACUCUGUCUGUUUGUGAUUUCAGUGGGCUUCUCUAUGUCAAAAAAAGUCUACUUUUAGAAGCAGAACAUUUUUAGACGCCUUGAAGGUACCCCUCCUGCCUCAGGGAGGUGUAGUGACCACCACCACACACCUGCAUGCCUCUAACUCUGUUAGCAUCGGUGUUCCCUUAGUAGCAUUUUGAAGCUCUUCAACUCAUGUAACGUGGAUUGUGACAUUUGGCUUGGUCAGUUCUAUUGGGUCAUUGAUCAACCAGAGAGCCCUCCAUUUAUGAAGUAGAUCCAGGAUAAAAGUCCGUCUAGAUCCUCUCUUUCUCUUCUUCAAGUCUCUACUUACUGCUUUUUCUCUUAUGUGCUGUAAUUCUUUCACGUGGAAAAGAACAUUCAACAGUGAAUUGUUGCUAAAUUGUGGGAAAGCCUCGUGCUGCUUUGUAAGUCUCCUGAAGGAUUAAAUAGGCCAGUGAAAGCUGGAGUAGAGGCUGAAAGCACAUAUUCUGGAUCUCCGUCAAAAUGGCUCUCUUUCCCUUUUCCUUUUUUUUUAUUUUUUUGCAAGUUAACCAAAUUUGUCUUUGCAUUCUUGAAUCAGUCCGUUGAUUCAAGCAAUAGUGGCUAACUUAACAAAGAUGCACCAAAGAACCUAGCGCGAUACCUGAGGUCCUGCACUGUGUGUCACCCGUUUCAUCAGUGCUUUUCUUCCUUUUGUUUUUGGGGAUGUUAUUUGUACGUGUGUAUGACAGUUUUUGUUCUGUAUUUUGCAAACAUUUAUAUUUUUGUGAUUUUUAUACCCAUAAAUAUGUGUACUUGCCAACUUGCAGCAAUUGGAGCAGAAGAUUUUUUAGCUUUGCUCCUUAACAAAUGCUGAAUCUCAUUUUGAAGCUUUCUAGUGGAAGCUGAAUCCACCAUGGUCCGAGACUGUUCAAUAGCCUGGCUCUCACAGGACACAUAUUAAUAUUUCAGUUACAUUUUCUCUGCCAUGUAUUAUUGGUACUGUUUCCUCCACAAAUGGGGGAAAAAAACAAAACAAAAAAAAAAAAACAAAAAAAAAAAAAAAAAAAACAAUCCCUAACUUCUUUAUCUUACCCUGUAUAUAUUUGUAAAGUCCAUUUUAUGUCUCCUUUUAGCCAUCUCUUUCUCACACUGGGUCUUGGCAUGUGGUAGCUAAACUUCAGUCAGAAACUGCUAAACUUCCAGCCUGAAAUAAUAUUCUGAAUGCUUUCACUGGGGUUCAUCUCAGGCAAAUAAAUCAUGAUUCCACAUGCCGGAUUGCACAGGACACUUAUGAAUAAAAGCAGCUUUUAAGCUAGUGCAGCUUACUGUACAAUGCAGCUAGUUCUAUUCAUGAGGUCCUACAAAGCAAAACUUGAAAUAUGUCAGCAUGUACUCGAAUCUUUUGGGGGUGAAUGGUAGACCAUUGUAAUUUAAAUGAGAUAUUGCUGACCUGCUGUUUAGUGCUGCAGAAAAGUGGCCUCACGUGGGACUGUGAUGGGACAUCACGGGGUAACGGAGUUGCACGGACAGCAGGUGCCAACAAGCGCUGAUGCCGAUCACAUCUACCAUGGGUUUCUUACAAUGCUUGUGUGCUGUAUUUUUGUUCACUGUUUAUGCUUGAGGAAGAGAACUACUGAUACUAAAGAGUCUGAUCUAGCUGGGAAAUGAAGGGAACAAAGGAGGAGAAGAUUAGAAGGGAAAUGCUUUCCCUUUGACUGAUUUUUAUGUAUGGGGCUCUCUGCACAGAGCAAACCCAAUCUACCCUUUAUCAUACAUCAGCUUUAAAAGUUGGCAAGUACACCUGGAAUGUUUACAGGAAUGCUGAGACUCUUUCAGUUUCACUGAAAUGUAAAUCAGCCGGAUGCAGGUGGGAGAUCCCUAACAGUUAGUGGUUAUAUAUAUUCAAUGCUUAAAUAAGAGCCGAAGUGUGGGAAGUAUUCUCUUACCAACCCGACUAACUUCCUUUGUUUAUAAUGUGUUUCUUCAGUGAUGAAAACAUACAUGAGUGUCUUUGGAUGUGUUGUGUGGUAGGAAAUGAUCAAAUGUAAUCACACAGGAGAAAAAAAGAGAACUCUUUGAAGAUCCUGUGCCACACACAUAGUUGUCACACGUAACUGCUGCUCAUGGUAGUGCUUGAUGCAAGUGCAGUGUCAAUCUCGUUUAUGCUGAAAGCCAAAAUACGAUACUUUUAUGUCCACUGUUCAUUUCCUGACAGCUUCUAAAGAAUGUAAAGCUCCAUUUGAACAUCCAAUUUGUUAUUAUCUGUAUUAAGUCACGACCAUUCUUUACCCUAAAAGGUCUCUAUCAUUUAAAUUCUGUAACCACCCGAUGUUGCAUGAAAAUUAAAAUUGAAAUGAUUUUAAAAUAUCUUUUUUUAAA